UACGAAGGGGGCUAGCGUUGUUCGGAUUUACUGGGCGUAAAGCGCACGUAGGCGGAUCGUUAAGUCGGGGGUGAAAGCCUGUGGCUCAACCACAGAAUGGCCUUCGAUACUGGGACGCUUGAGUAUGGUAGAGGUUGGUGGAACUGCGAGUGUAGAGGUGAAAUUCGUAGAUAUUCGCAAGAACACCGGUGGCGAAGGCGGCCAACUGGACCAUUACUGACGCUGAGGCGCGAAAGCGUGGGGAGCAAACAGG
Molecule: ribosomal RNA, 253 nt
Filed under: uncultured bacterium
Lineage: Bacteria
Description: partial 16S ribosomal RNA
Rfam family: Bacterial small subunit ribosomal RNA
Source: RNAcentral